Long non-coding RNA from Sceloporus undulatus (fence lizard), 450 nucleotides. RefSeq lists it as uncharacterized. The transcript has 3 exons. Lineage: Eukaryota; Metazoa; Chordata; Lepidosauria; Squamata; Phrynosomatidae. The record is from RefSeq and is a predicted model, not a curated record.
AGUGAUGAUGAUGAAAUGAGCCAGCUUCUGAGGCACAACCAAUAAGGUCCUGGAACCAAAUCCCAGCGGAUAUCAAGGACCCAAUGUACCUCGCUGAGAAGAGAGUGGGCAAUUCAUCCAAGUUAUGCACAAUGAACCAUUAAGAUCUGAGCUGGCGAUCCAGGUCUGCAAGAAGAAUGCAUUGUGUAAGCAAUUGAGAACAAGAUUUGAAUAUUGCAAGGAAUAUAGCACCCCCCCUUCCUCCAAAAAAAAGGAUGAAAAAUAAAGAUAUUUCCACAUGGAUAGAAAAGCAGCUUCUUGGCAGAGAUUCAUUUUCAGUCGUUAUUGCUGCCAUCCAAAGUAUGAAAGGUGGGUAGAACAGAUUGUUUCUGCAAACAACUCCAAUUCUUUCAGAGAACAUAAAAAGAGAAAUGAGUGGAAGUAGAAAAACCACCAAGAAUAUCCCCCUCC